CAGUCGCCGCGGGAAAACGUAGGUGGCAAGCGUUGUCCGGAAUUAUUGGCGUAAAGCGCGCGCAGGCGGAUCAGUUAGUCUGUCUUAAAAGUUCGGGGCUUAACCCCGUGAGGGGAUGGAAACUGCUGAUCUAGAGUAUCGGAGGGGAAAGUGGAAUUCCUAGUGUAGCGGUGAAAUGCGUAGAUAUUAGGAAGAACACCAGUGGCGAAGGCGACUUUCUGGACGAAAACUGACGCUGAGGCGCGAAAGCCAGGGGAGCGAACGGGAUUAGAUACCCCAGUAGUCCCUGUCUCUUAUACAC
Molecule: ribosomal RNA, 301 nt
Filed under: uncultured bacterium
Lineage: Bacteria
Description: partial 16S ribosomal RNA
Rfam family: Bacterial small subunit ribosomal RNA
Source: RNAcentral